UUUUUUUUAACUACUGUUAUAUAUAAAAUGAACAAUUCCGUCCUAUCGCCCACUUUUCUAUUUUUUUUGAGCUGAACGGUGACAGAGAUCGCCACCAUUUCAUUAGCAUACUAAAAAUGACAAAAAUCUUGUAGCAUGAGAACUCUCCCAGUACCAGUGAGAGAUCAUCUAGUAGUUACACAGUAAACUCCCCUAUCUCUCUAUAUGCUUAAAAACUAGAAACCGGCAUCAUGCAGAGUAUUAUCCCCUUUUCAAUAUUAAGGAGAUAGAAAAUAAAAAUUUAGAGCAUCAUACCACAGGAGGGCA
RNAcentral lists this long non-coding RNA (306 nucleotides) under Elaeis guineensis (African oil palm). RNAcentral describes it as "long non-coding RNA (EGUI_LNC035614)". The record is from RNAcentral. Lineage: Eukaryota; Viridiplantae; Streptophyta; Magnoliopsida; Arecales; Arecaceae.